This 761-nucleotide ribosomal RNA is filed under the name uncultured fungus. RNAcentral's name for it is "eukaryotic LSU rRNA". It matches the Rfam family "Eukaryotic large subunit ribosomal RNA", at positions 30 to 821 of the family's 3401-position model. The record is from RNAcentral. Lineage: Eukaryota; Fungi.
GAACUUAAGCAUAUCAAUAAGCGGAGGAAAAGAAACCAACAGGGAUUGCCCCAGUAACGGCGAGUGAAGCGGCAACAGCUCAAAUUUGAAAUCUGGCCCCCAGGGUCCGAGUUGUAAUUUGCAGAGGAUGAUUUUGGCGAGGUGCCUUCCGAGUUCCCUGGAACGGGACGCCACAGAGGGUGAGAGCCCCGUCUGGUUGGACGCCGAGCCUAUGUAAAUCUCCUUCGACGAGUCGAGUAGUUUGGGAAUGCUGCUCUAAAUGGGAGGUAUAUGUCUUCUAAAGCUAAAUAUUGGCCAGAGACCGAUAGCGCACAAGUAGAGUGAUCGAAAGAUGAAAAGCACUUUGAAAAGAGGGUUAAAUAGUACGUGAAAUUGUUGAAAGGGAAGCGCUCAUGACCAGACUUGGGCCCGGUGAAUCAUCCAGCGUUCUCGCUGGUGCACUUUGCCGGGCUCAGGCCAGCAUCAGUUUGCCCCGGGGGAUAAAGGCUUUGGGAAUGUGGCUCCUCCGGGAGUGUUAUAGCCCAUUGCAUAAUAUCCUGGGGCGGACUGAGGUUCGCGCAUCUGCAAGGAUGCUGGCGUAAUGGUCAUCAGCGACCCGUCUUGAAACACGGACCAAGGAGUCGUCUUCGUAUGCGAGUGUUCGGGUGUAAAACCCCUACGCGUAAUGAAAGUGAACGCAGGUGAGAGCUUCGGCGCAUCAUCGACCGAUCCUGAUGUUCUCGGAUGGAUUUGAGUAAGAGCAUACGGGGCCGGACCCGAAA